RNAcentral lists this ribosomal RNA (495 nucleotides) under uncultured bacterium. RNAcentral describes it as "partial 16S ribosomal RNA". It matches the Rfam family "Bacterial small subunit ribosomal RNA", at positions 28 to 507 of the family's 1533-position model. The record is from RNAcentral.
GACGAACGCUGGCGGCGUGCCUAAUACAUGCAAGUAGAACGCUGAAGGAGGAGCUUGCUUCUCCGGAUGAGUUGCGAACGGGUGAGUAACGCGUAGGUAACCUGCCUGGUAGCGGGGGAUAACUAUUGGAAACGAUAGCUAAUACCGCAUAACAGUAGAUAUCGCAUGAUAUCUGCUUGAAAGGUGCAAUUGCAUCACUACCAGAUGGACCUGCGUUGUAUUAGCUAGUUGGUGAGGUAACGGGUCACCAAGGCGACGAUACAUAGCCGACCUGAGAGGGUGAUCGGCCACACUGGGACUGAGACACGGCCCAGACUCCUACGGGAGGCAGCAGUAGGGAAUCUUCGGCAAUGGACGGAAGUCUGACCGAGCAACGCCGCGUGAGUGAAGAAGGUUUUCGGAUCGUAAAGCUCUGUUGUAAGAGAAGAACGAGUGUGAGAGUGGAAAGUUCACACUGUGACGGUAUCUUACCAGAAAGGGACGGCUAACUACGUG